Molecule: long non-coding RNA, 1733 nt
Organism: Macaca mulatta (Rhesus monkey)
Lineage: Eukaryota; Metazoa; Chordata; Mammalia; Primates; Cercopithecidae
Source: Ensembl
CAGAAAUGAUGAAUGUCACUUCAAGAGCUGGUCCAUAAAACCUUCCACACAAUCCUGCAUGCUUCCUGUCUCUACCCCAUCUUCUGACUGGAAACAGGGAAUACAGAAUCCUCCAGUAGAGGAUUCCAAAACCUGUAACAGUGACCAGAGCCACAAGGCGGAUCGUUCUGAGUCUCAUCCAAUGGGAAGCCAUCAAGUGAAAAUCUUCAUUAAACUGUUAUUCCAGGGAGACGUUAAUUUCCAUUGAGGUAAGUCAGAGACUUGGGGGUUAUUCAUCACAUCAGCCAGCUCACCCUAACCAAUGCAAAAAGCAAAUGAGUUGUCCAAGUUUACCCUUUAGAAGUUACAAAGCAUGAUGUUGAAUGUGACCUUCUGAUUCUUACAUGAGAUCUCUUCCCAUCAGAUCUGACCAGGUAGCAUGAACUUAGUACUUUGGGAGGUUGUUACCCUAUCUUUCCACAUGCAGUAUUUUCCUCUUUAGCCCAAGUAUACUCUUAGCCCUAUCUUUUCUCCCUUUCCCUUUCCUAAGGGUUUCCUAGGUUUGCUUUUUCAUAGAUUCAUCUUUAUCAGAUGAAAAUAUCUGGUUUGUCUAACACCUGACCUCCAGCAGAAGACGGCUUACCCACCCUGUAGAGAUGAGUCUCACCAGCAAAUGGAGACAGCCCUUCAAUUUCCUGCAAGUGAACUCUGCAACUGACGUGCAGGCUAAUAAUUACUUGUUCAGCAAUUUAGCAUGGCCCAGGCUGCUGGAAACUAACAUCUUCCUGAAGAGGAUGUCCUUCACACUUCUCCAUCCAGGCAAGACACGUUUUCAAGACCAAGAGAGUAGAGAAGUCAGGUAAAGUGCGAGGGAAGAUGGGAAACAAUGCAAUAAUAUGGGGGAAAGGAAAACCUGAAGACGUGGCCACAAGAAGUGUCAGACGCUUUCCAAGCCUGGGACUCCAAGAGAACAGUACAGUCCAGUUUCAGAGCUAGAGUCACAAAGCUGACUCUAGAGCUGUUUCUAGAGCUGGGCAAGGCUCCAAGGUCAUGAUGCCUAACUCUCUCGUUUCAUAAAGAGGGAAUGGAGGACCUGAGUGAUUAAGGACUGUGUCCAAAGUCACAGAGGCAGUCACCGUAGGACUAGAGUCCCGGACCAGUGCUCUCCAGUGCUCUUUGUACUUUCCACUCUUGCUUGCAGGCCUGAUAGGAAGCACUCAGUUCAAGGAGUUGGAGUAGCAGAUGUAAUUAGGAAGCUAAGUGCUGGAGUAUGUGGUCCCUGAGGAUUCAUCUCUCCAUGCCCUUGGCCAUCCCCGUCCUCCCUGAAAGCCUUUCCCUGCUUCUCUGAGAAGCCAGCUCCCAUCACCCACUAGGGACAGACACAAACAGUCUGUCUGGGGUGAGUCUCUCAAUUCCUAGGUGAAGCAGGAGUGGGAACAUCUCCAGUUAGAACUCCAGAGCAUCUGGGAAGGGAAAGUGUCUCCAGGCUGGAAACGUAUGGAAAUUUCCCUGAACCCAGAAGCAUGCUUGGAAUAGUUUCAACUGCCUCAUCUCCACUCCAGCCCAGCCGUGUUAGUGAGGCAAGCCGCAAUCAGGGAGAUAAUUAGCUUGCUGUUAUUUAUUCCCUGCGCUAAUCAGCAGCCCACUGCUUGCACAGUGGAGAGGGCUCCUGCCCCCAGAGCCAUGGGGGUUCUCAGGGACCUUUAGUUACCCGCCAGGAAACAAGUAGCAGAAGACAAAGGGCUGGGAAGAGG